CCUACGGGGGGCAGCAGGGAGGAAUAUUGGUCAAUGGACGAGAGUCUGAACCAGCCAAGUAGCGUGAAGGAUGACUGCCCUAUGGGUUGUAAACUUCUUUUAUAUGGGAAUAAAAUGUUCCACGUGUGGGAUUUUGUAUGUACCAUAUGAAUAAGGAUCGGCUAACUCCGUGCCAGCAGCCGCGGUAAUACGGAGGAUCCGAGCGUUAUCCGGAUUUAUUGGGUUUAAAGGGAGCGUAGGUGGAUUGUUAAGUCAGUUGUGAAAGUUUGCGGCUCAACCGUAAAAUUGCAGUUGAAACUGGCAGUCUUGAGUACAGUAGAGGUGGGCGGAAUUCGUGGUGUAGCGGUGAAAUGCUUAGAUAUCACGAAGAACUCCGAUUGCGAAGGCAGUUCACUGGACUGCAACUGACACUGAGGCUCGAAAGUGUGGGUAUCAAACAGGAUUAGAUACCCUUGUAGUC
RNAcentral lists this ribosomal RNA (460 nucleotides) under uncultured bacterium. Its description in RNAcentral is "partial 16S ribosomal RNA". It matches the Rfam family "Bacterial small subunit ribosomal RNA", at positions 338 to 795 of the family's 1533-position model. The record is from RNAcentral.